UUUAUGGUCAAAGCCAAGUGUGUUCAGUAUUAAAAGAACCAUGUUUUUUCUUAAAAUGUGGCCCCUGAAUGCAGGCCACAUUUCAUGUGGUGUGCAAUGAAGAGACAGCGAUCUGAGCUGGCUGCAGAAUUGACCGUAAGGGCAUUAGUGAGAAGUGUGUGUGCUCACGGGGGCUUCCUACUUGUUCCCUAUUUUAUGGGUAAUGUUUGGGAUAUAUAAAGGGAAGGUUUGUCUGUGCAUAAUGAGCUGAUGUUAAAAUGCAGUGUUAUAAAGAUGCACCUCACUUCUUUAUUUGAUUUCCAUAUUAACUUACUCUCUUAGGAGGGUCUGCAUUGUGGUCACUGUUUCCCCGCUAUUCUUCUCUAAUAUUAACUUUCAUGCUAGAUAUUUUGCUAUUUGGAGAAGACAACAGUGCAAGAGAUAAUCAGUAUAACUUUUAUCUUUGCUAGGAGCCACAGAAGCCUAUGUAGAAAAAGUCCAAAUGUGAGCCCGUGACUCCGGAGGAGGAAACUCAACUACAGACUGUGUAUGUCUUCUGUCCUCUGGACAGCUACAACCAUCCUGUGGCCUCGCCCUGAGCCUUCAGAGCCGUCCCCUACUCUACCACAGGGAAGUUUUUUCUAAAAUGCAAGUAUUAUUGUUUGACAGCCCUGCUUAAAAGCUUUCAGUGACUUUUUAUUUUCUGUGGACUAUAUCACAAGGUUUAUAGCAUUAAGAAGCUUCAUAUUCUUUUCCUCCAACCUUAUCUCUUAUGACUUCCCUUUAUUAGUUCUAGCUUCAUGGAAUUUUUAUAAUUCAUGUCUAAGCUUUCUUACACAUGCCUGACAAACCACUGCUCUACCUUCCAGAGGCAAAAUCAGGAAUUUUUUUCAUCUUUGGAAGCCCAGUCCUCAUAGCCAUACCUCCUAAUUCCAAAAAGUUGAAUCCUCCUUCGUCUGUAUGAGGAAUGCCUCUUACUCAGCAGCAGGUGGACACGGCCGUGGGUCAAGACGCUCUGCCUCAUGGAGAAGCCUGGUUUGUCGUUGCCACCACUAAGUCAGACCGUGUAACCCUUCCGUUCUUCACCCACAGCAUCAGCAGCAACUUCUGUGGCCAUUCGCUUCUUACAAAAGCUACGGGGUUUGCAUUCAUCAUCCACAUUGAUGAGUUUCUGGUAGCCAGUAGCUGGAAAAGAGUUGUUCAGCUUCUUCCCAAAGCAGCCUGCCGCCU
Long non-coding RNA from Acinonyx jubatus (cheetah), 1209 nucleotides. RefSeq lists it as uncharacterized. NCBI's taxonomy places the organism in Eukaryota, Metazoa, Chordata, Mammalia, Carnivora, Felidae. The record is from RefSeq and is a predicted model, not a curated record. The transcript has 3 exons.